This 467-nucleotide ribosomal RNA is filed under the name uncultured soil bacterium. RNAcentral describes it as "bacterial SSU rRNA". It matches the Rfam family "Bacterial small subunit ribosomal RNA", at positions 1 to 472 of the family's 1533-position model. The record is from RNAcentral.
UAGAAUUUUGAUUCCUGCUUCAAGAACGGAACGCCGGACGGCAUGCCCUAACCACAUGCAAAGUCGAAACGAGCCCUUUGGGGUUCUAGUGGCCCCACGGGGUGCGUAACGCCGUGGGAAUUCUGCCCUUGGGGUACGGAAAUAGGCCGGGGGAAACCCCGGGAUUAAAUCCGGAAUAAUGACUUCGGUCCCAAAAUUUAUCGCCCCAAGGGAUGAGCCCCGCGUCGGAAUAAGCUAGUUGGGUGAGGGUAAGGCUCCACCCAAGGGGCGAUCCGUAGCUGUUGAGAGAGGAUGAUCAGCCACACUGGGACUGAGACACGGCCCAGACUCCUACGGGAGGCAGCAGUGGGGAAUAUUGGACAAUGGGCGCAAGCCUGAUCCAGCAAUGCCGCGUGAGUGAUGAAGGCCUUAGGGUUGUAAAGCUCUUUUACCCGGAAGAUAAUGACUUACCGGAGAUAAGCCCCUUA